CACGAGAAAGUGGAGCAAUCCAUGAGUACAGUGGCGUACGGGUGAGUAACACGUGGAUCAUCUACCUUCUAGUGGGGAAUACCCCCGGGAAACUGGGGACAAUACCGCAUAAGCUCGUAAGAGGAAAGCAGCAAUGCGCUGGAAGAGGAGUCCGCGGCUGAUUAGCUAGUUGGCGGGGUAACGGCCCACCAAGGCGAAGAUCGGUAGCCGGCCUGAGAGGGCGCACGGCCACACUGGCACUGAAACACGGGCCAGACUCCUACGGGAGGCAGCAGUGGGGAAUCUUGCACAAUGGAGGAAACUCUGAUGCAGCGACGCCGCGUGAGCGAUGAAGCCCUUCGGGGUGUAAAGCUCUUUCGACGGGAACGAUAAUGACGGUACCCGAAGAAGAAGCUGCGGCUAACUACGUGCCAGCAGCCGCGGUAAUACGUAGGCAGCAAGCGUUGUUCGGAAUUACUGGGCGUAAAGAGUGUGUAGGCGGUGUUCUAAGUUUGUCGUGAAAUCUCCCGGCUUAACUGGGAGGGUGCGGCGAAAACUGGAAUGCUAGAGGAUGGGAGAGGUAAGCGGAAUUCCUGGUGUAGCGGUGAAAUGCGUAGAUAUCAGGAGGAACACCUGUGGUGUAGACAGCUUACUGGACCAUUUCUGACGCUGAGACACGAAAGCGUGGGUAGCAACAGGAUUAGAUA
This 686-nucleotide ribosomal RNA is filed under the name uncultured bacterium. RNAcentral's name for it is "bacterial SSU rRNA". It matches the Rfam family "Bacterial small subunit ribosomal RNA", at positions 65 to 784 of the family's 1533-position model. The record is from RNAcentral.